This 999-nucleotide ribosomal RNA is filed under the name uncultured organism. RNAcentral describes it as "bacterial SSU rRNA". It matches the Rfam family "Bacterial small subunit ribosomal RNA", at positions 356 to 1376 of the family's 1533-position model. The record is from RNAcentral.
GGGGAAUAUUGCACAAUGGAGGAAACUCUGAUGCAGCGAUGCCGCGUGAGGGAAGAAGGUUUUAGGAUUGUAAACCUCUGUCUUCAGGGACGAAAAAAGGACGGUACCUGAGGAGGAAGCUCCGGCUAACUACGUGCCAGCAGCCGCGGUAAUACGUAGGGAGCGAGCGUUGUCCGGAAUUACUGGGUGUAAAGGGAGCGUAGGCGGGAUCGCAAGUCAGAUGUGAAAACUAUGGGCUUAACCCAUAAACUGCAUUUGAAACUGUGGUUCUUGAGUGAAGUAGAGAUAAGCGGAAUUCCUAGUGUAGCGGUGAAAUGCGUAGAUAUUAGGAGGAACAUCAGUGGCGAAGGCGGCUUACUGGGCUUUAACUGACGCUGAGGCUCGAAAGCGUGGGGAGCAAACAGGAUUAGAUACCCUGGUAGUCCACGCCGUAAACGAUGAUUACUAGGUGUGGGGGGACUGACCCCUUCCGUGCCGCAGCAAACGCAAUAAGUAAUCCACCUGGGGAGUACGACCGCAAGGUUGAAACUCAAAGGAAUUGACGGGGGCCCGCACAAGCAGUGGAGUAUGUGGAUUAAUUCGAAGCAACGCGAAGAACCUUACCAGGUCUUGACAUCGUAUGCAUAGCUCAGAGAUGAGUGAAAUCUCUUCGGAGACAUAUAGACAGGUGGUGCAUGGUUGUCGUCAGCUCGUGUCGUGAGAUGUUGGGUUAAGUCCCGCAACGAGCGCAACCCUUACUGUUAGUUGCUACGCAAGAGCACUCUAGCAGGACUGCCGUUGACAAAACGGAGGAAGGUGGGGAUGACGUCAAAUCAUCAUGCCCCUUAUGACCUGGGCCUCACACGUACUACAAUGGCUGUAAACAGAGGGAAGCAAAGCCGCGAGGUAGAGCGAACCCCUAAAAGCAGUCUUAGUUCGGAUUGUAGGCUGCAACCCGCCUACAUGAAGUCGGAAUUGCUAGUAAUCGCAGAUCAGCAUGCUGCGGUGAAUACGUUCCCG